AGAGUUUGAUCCUGGCUCAGAAUCAACGCUGGCGGCGCGCUUAACACAUGCAAGUCGGACGAGAAAGCCCGCAAGGGUGAGUAAAGUGGCGUACGGGUGAGUAACACGUGGGUAAUCUACCUUUUGGUGGGGAAUAACCCUGGGAAACCGGGGCUAAUACCGCAUAAGCUCGAAAGAGGAAAGGAGCAAUUCGCCGAAAGAGGAGCCCGCGGCUGAUUAGCUAGUUGGUGAGGUAAAGGCUCACCAAGGCAAUGAUCGGUAGCCGGCCUGAGAGGGCACACGGCCACACUGGCACUGAAACACGGGCCAGACUCCUACGGGAGGCAGCAGUGGGGGAUCUUGCACAAUGGGGGAAACCCUGAUGCAGCGACGCCGCGUGAAUGAUGAAGCCCUUCGGGGUGUAAAGUUCUUUCGGCAGGGACGAUAAUGACGGUACCUGAAGAAGAAGCUGCGGCUAACUACGUGCCAGCAGCCGCGGUAAUACGUAGGCAGCGAGCGUUGUUCGGAGUUACUGGGCGUAAAGAGUGCGUAGGCGGUUUUCUAAGUUUGGUGUGAAAUCUCCCGGCUUAACUGGGAGGGUGCGCCGAAGACUGGAAGGCUUGAGUAUGGGAGAGGUAAGCGGAAUUCCUGGUGUAGCGGUGAAAUGCGUAGAUAUCAGGAGGAACACCUGCGGUGUAGACGGCUUACUGGACCAUAACUGACGCUGAGGCACGAAAGCGUGGGUAGCAAACAGGAUUAGAUACCCUAGUAGUCC
This 754-nucleotide ribosomal RNA is filed under the name uncultured bacterium. Its description in RNAcentral is "bacterial SSU rRNA". It matches the Rfam family "Bacterial small subunit ribosomal RNA", at positions 8 to 796 of the family's 1533-position model. The record is from RNAcentral.